Long non-coding RNA from Vitis riparia (riverbank grape), 3884 nucleotides. RefSeq lists it as uncharacterized. Lineage: Eukaryota; Viridiplantae; Streptophyta; Magnoliopsida; Vitales; Vitaceae. The transcript is spliced from 3 exons. The record is from RefSeq and is a predicted model, not a curated record.
UUCGGAAGGAUGGGUCAUUCUCCCAUGUUGUUGGAUUGUUUGUUUCUGAUUAGAAAAGGUUUUGAAACAGCGAUCAUCAAACAUGAAACUACCAUAAUAUCUCAAUUGACCAUGGUUGCUAGGGAUGAUGUUAUUAGCUUGUGUCCAGGAUUACUCUGUAUAAUAUUUUUCUUAUUGAGGCAAUGGAGUGUUAGUGCUAUUAUAGUUGAUAGAGGCAAGGUGUAAGUCUUGAGGCGGAAUGGGGUGUAAGCCUCAAUUAAAGGAAAAAACCUUUAAAAAAUAAAAUUCACAUAAAAAUAGAGUAAUAAGAAAACGAUUGAAUUCAAGAAAAUUCAUUGUUUUUCAUAAAAGUUUCCAAUUUAGUUCAUCUUUCCCUCUUCCAAAAUGCAACUCUGUCUCAUGAGUCAUGGUUUGAUGAAAUUACUCAUCACUCCUAAGCAUCACCAUCAUUAACACUAGUGGGAUCAUGUAAGGAAUCUUUAUUAUAUCUAAUUGCUUUAUCAUCCUCUCUAUCAAUAUCAAUUUCCACCCAUGUUUCUUUUCAACCACCAAUUGCAGCAUCAUAGGUUUAAGCUUUAAGCAAAGCGGUGGCUAUAAGGAGGCAUCAUUGCGAUUCUAGCUGUGAUUCUGAUGACUCUUGCAGCAAAGUAGUCCUCCUCUGGAAGUAAGAACCCAGCACCCAGGACCCAGCCAACAGCCAAGAAGUCUUCUCUUCUCCUUCUAAAUAUCUUUCCUUUUCCCCUCUUAUUUAUUUAUUUUUUUAAAUCAACCUAAGAAAUUGAUCUAAGACCCAGAAAUUUACCCAAGAUCUAAGCCCAUGACUCAAAACUUACAAAAUAGAAUAAAAAAAGCCUAAAAACAUUAAAAAUCCAUUGGAUAUGGAGGCCCAAGAAGAACAAAUACUCAUAAACGUGCCAUCAUAUCUGAGGCUUAAGCCUCAAGGUUGUGUGCCUUGGUAGGGUGAGGCUUAAUCCUCAACUACAGACUUAAGUCUCACCAUUAUUUCUUAAUGCUUCCUCAAGGCAUAAAAUCCUUUUAAAACACCAUAGGCAACUUAACUGGCACAUGAGUGGUCCUAGGCUCAUCUAAUAGGCUAGUAUAGCUAGUAUUGUAUUAUAUUGUAGGCUACUAUUGAUGGUACUUCAUCAUAUUUUAGCUUUAUGCUCUCUGUUGUUUCAUUUAUUACAGUGUUGGCAAGCAUGUGGGAAGGUGAUUGUAGGCACUUGCAUGCAUUGAGAACAUUUUUUUUUAAAUAAAAUAAAAAAUUAGAAAGAAGCUAUUCAUUGAUAUGGAUUUUGAAAACAAGCAAAGGAUGAGAAAUCCUUCCAAGAAUACAAAGGAUCCAAUAACAAGGAAAUACUUGGCAGGAGUGACAAUGUAGCUACAUUGAAGGAUGAGACAAUAAAAUGCAUUGAGAAUUUGUAAAGCAAUUGGAAGAUGGUGAGGAAGAAAAUCAUGAUUGGGAUGAUUUUCAUUUUUUCUAUUUCUCUAGGGCUAAGUUUUUGCAGCCUACCCCACGUACACAGGGAGUAUAGGGGUGGUAGUAUCAUCCUUAUAAUUAUGAGUCUCAGCUCUGUUGAAUUCUUUCUUUUUGCAUGUGGUGGCUCUUUUGUUUUUGUCUUAUAAGCAUGGCACUGUUUUACCUCUGUAUAAAUUUAAUUUAUGUUGUUUGUGCUUGGGGUUUGGCCCUUCUUUUUCUUUAUUACUUUAUCAUUUCUUAUGUGUCGCAAAGAGAAGGAAAAGUGACUGAUUCUGAAAAUUUGAAAUAUAUGACCUGUGAAUUCCUGAAUAUUUGUAGUCAGAUCACCAUUAAUAAGUAAAGACAUUGUUCUGGUUUCCUAGUGAAGGCAAGCAUCAAAUACUGGAAUCUUUAAAUCAACUUUUUUCAUAGAUAGCUAGGAGAAAUAUCUGGACGGUCACAUGCCAAAGAAAACAGCAAAGAUGAAGAGCCCUACAUAAUGGAUUAAGUGAGAAAAGAAAAUCAAAAUUCUUUUGCCCACAAAACAAAAAUAAAUAAAUAAAUAAAUAAAUAAAUAAAAUCUACAUGGGAAGCCUCUGGUCUACAGAAAAAGAAAAGGUCCAAAUGAAAGUUAUCCUUCAGCUACAAGAUUGGAUUUUCUUCCUUCUGACAGAUCCCUCUGCUAGUUUCUUCCAACGCUAUGGAAACAAACAUUAGCAUUGUCUUCCUUAAAAAAUGGAGGCACCCACUGAACAGAAAAAGUGAAGACAGUAAGGUUCAAAGUUCUCCAGCUUCCCAACAGUUGAUAAUAUCGUGGUUUGUUGACUGCUGACUUUUUUUGUGCAAGCACCACCAAUAAAUCAUGUGAAACCUUGCUGCAUCAAGUGGUUAAUGGUGAGGACUUCCCUGAGCUACCUCCAUGCAUAAAAUUCCACUCUGGAGGGAACCACUGGCACCCAUACCUCGUAAGCUGGGGACUUUCUGCUGCCCCUUCUGCUUAAUUCCAGAAACAGUGACUUAAAAGUGAAUCUUUCAUCCCUACCAAGUCUUCAUCUGCUUGUAUCUUCUCUGUUUCUGAGUAUUGCUUGUCAUAGAGUAUACCCAUAAGCUUCACCAAUGCCUCUAAUUAUCACUCUUGUGAGAUUGAAAUAAAAGCAUGGAACCUAUAAAUAUCAGUCAUUUUUUUUUUGAUAGACCAAGAAGAAAAUUAGAUUAAAACACGCCAAAAAACAGGGGGCGCUCACGUACACAGGUUGUAUACAAAGAAGGCCCAAAUCAAGGCAACAAAAGAAAGAGAAAGCCUAAGAAGGAAUAGUUAAACAACAACUCGAUCACCCAACAAAUUCCAAAAAGAGAGAUAGUCCAAGUCCAAGUCCAGAAAUUGUUGAGACCACUCAAGAAGAGACCGAAGAAAGAGUUUCCUCAAGCUCAUAUCUGGCAUCUCUUCCUCUUGGAAGAUUCUUCGAUUUUGCUCUCUCCAAAUACACCAAAACAGACAAAUAGGCGCCAUUUUCCAAACUACACUCUUUUUCUUCCCCAGGCUUUAAUUUUCCAUUCAAGAAGCAGAUUUCUCACUGAUUCCGGGAGCACCCACACUACCCCAAAAGAAGAAAACAACAAAGUCCAAAGAUCCCUUGUCUUACCACAAUGAAUUAGGAUGUGGUUCGCCGUUUCCUCAUUUUCUUUGCAAAGAAUGCAUCUAUUGACCAUAGACCAACCCCUCCUCAUUAGCAUAUCUACAGUAGAAAUUUUACCCCAAACCUCCUUUGUUGGAAAUAAAGGGCUGUUGUCUUCCUUCAAAGACCUAUAAUAAGAUUUUACCUUAAAUAUUCCUUUCCUCUCAAUUUUCCAAACCAGAAAAUCCUCCCCUUCUUGCACCUUUACUGUAGAAAUGUAACCCAAAAAGCGAUUCACCUCCUCCAACUCCCAAUCUUGAAAGGAUCUUCUAAAGUGCACCUCCCAACCCCCGCCACCACCUUCUUGUCUCCCCCAUAGAUCAGCCACUACUGCAGAAUUAUGUGUUGCAAUUCUAAACAGCAAAGGGAAGAGAUCCUUUAGCUUAGACCUAGCCAAAUCCCAUGUGAUCUCCACAAAGGCAUUGAAGUCAGAUGAUUUGCUAAAAAAGCUUGGAAAUGACCGUUUAAGGAGAACCCCUAACCAAAUUCCCAGUUGGACUGGUCUCUCACCUCCUUGGAGCACUAAUUGCCCACCUCCACCUUGAACUUGCCUAUUACAACCUCUUUCCAAAAGCUCUUCCCCUCUCUUGCAAACCUUAUGAAUCUCAGAAAGUUACUAUCCUAAAAGAAAAAAGAAAAAAAAAUCUCGUUGUAUAGCGGAGGUUUUUAGUGUUUAGAUCAGGCUUGUAUUUUUGUGGGAAGGAUUCCUCAUCCUUCUCAUGAACUCUUUUAUAUGUAAUUAAUUCAUC